This 422-nucleotide ribosomal RNA is filed under the name uncultured archaeon. Its description in RNAcentral is "partial 16S ribosomal RNA". It matches the Rfam family "Archaeal small subunit ribosomal RNA", at positions 323 to 746 of the family's 1478-position model. The record is from RNAcentral.
CUACGGGGGGCUCCAGGCGCGAAACCUCCACAAUGCACGAAAGUGUGAUGGGGGGAUCCUACGUGCUCAUGUCUGACAUGGGCUUUUGCCAAGAGUAGAUACCUUGGCGAAUAAGGGGUGGGCAAGACCGGUGCCAGCCGCCGCGGUAACACCGGCGCCCCAAGUGGCAAUCGCGAUUAUUGGGCCUAAAGCGUCCGUAGCCGGACAGUUAAAUCCUCUGUGAAAUCGUCGCGCUCAACGUGACGGCGCGCAGGGGAGACUGGCUGUCUCGAGACCGGGAGGAGUCAGAGGUAUGCCGUGGGGACUGGUAAAAUGGUAUAAUCCACGGUAGACCACCAAUGGCGAAGGCAUCUGACCAGAACGGAUCUGACGGUGAGGGACGAAAGCCAGGGGAGCGAACCGGAUUAGAUACCCCAGUAGUC